Molecule: long non-coding RNA, 506 nt
Organism: Protopterus annectens (West African lungfish)
Lineage: Eukaryota; Metazoa; Chordata; Ceratodontiformes; Protopteridae
Exons: 3
Source: RefSeq, a predicted model, not a curated record
CAACUGCCCAAAUAGGGACAGCCCUAGGUAAAGAAGGACAGAUGAUAACCUUCCACAUUUGCCUGCCAAGAAUGGAAUAGAGAGACUGACAUCUGGAAAGCACACCUGAAAAUGCACCAGAAAUGUCAUGCUAAUCUACAGUACCAAUGUGAUGAAUUAUGGAUGGACACAGAUGCAGUUCUUUAACUGACAGAAGCUGUUCUAAUUUUUAACAUCAGGAGAACAUUGUGGAGUAACUGGUGUCAGAUGUUGGAUGUACCCUAAGGUUCCACAGAAUCCUGGUUGAAAAGUCAUUUGCCUAAGGUUUACUAAUAUACAUUUUAUAUUUGCAUAUUCUAGAAAUAUGAAGGAGUAUUCAUCAGUAUUGAAAAUACAAAUAUAAAGCUUUACAUAACAGAGGCAGCCAGCUGGAAAUUAUUAUACCAUUAAGUCCUAAGCUAUUUCAAUAGCUUAUUGAGGUAACCAAUGCAAUUGAGGAAACAGAAGCUGUAACAUAAAACAUGCAC